Bufo bufo (common toad) is the source of this 218-nucleotide long non-coding RNA. RefSeq lists it as uncharacterized. The transcript has 3 exons. Lineage: Eukaryota; Metazoa; Chordata; Amphibia; Anura; Bufonidae. The record is from RefSeq and is a predicted model, not a curated record.
UGGGGUUGCAUGAAUGUGCCAUCCGGGUUUAUCAUCGGGUACAGCAUAGAGAUCACCGGGAGACUAGGGGUGACAUAGGAGUGACGGAAGGGGGGGUCCGGACCGAAUGAUAUUAAAGGUCCGUUCAUGGGCGUUGGCUGGGGACAAGAUGGCACUGUAGCUAACACGGGAAAUGAUGGGAUGUGCCGGGGAGUAGUUACCAAGGUGUGGUUUUGUGG